Molecule: long non-coding RNA, 260 nt
Organism: Uranotaenia lowii
Lineage: Eukaryota; Metazoa; Arthropoda; Insecta; Diptera; Culicidae
Exons: 3
Source: RefSeq, a predicted model, not a curated record
CGUAGCCACCACAAGGCCGCUGUGGAAAAGCAGUAUGAGGCGGUGCCCAUUUCUGAGGCUACGUGUUGUCGGAAAAUGUAAUCGUAGAGACAAUUUCGCACCAACAUCCGGAAAUGUCCAAUCGCCACGGAAAACCCUGGAAACUGCACCGAGCAGCUGCGGAAAUCUGCCACAAGCGGAACAUGAUAGAUGGUUUCCAAUAUGCCGCCUUGCGAAGUAACUGCCCAUGAUGCUGGAUGAUUCAACGCCCCUUAUCGUAC